UGGGGAAUAUUGCGCAAUGGGGGAAACCCUGACGCAGCGACGCCGCGUGUGGGAAGAAGGCCUUCGGGUCGUAAACCACUGUCAGGAGGGAAGAAACGCAUGGGUUCGAAUAGGGCAUGUGCCUGACGGUACCUCCGGAGGAAGCACCGGCUAACUCCGUGCCAGCAGCCGCGGUAAUACGGAGGGUGCAAGCGUUACUCGGAAUCACUGGGCGUAAAGCGCACGUAGGCGGUUUUGCAAGUCAGGCGUGAAAUGCCGCGGCUCAACCGAGGAAUUGCGUUUGAAACUG
This 289-nucleotide ribosomal RNA is filed under the name uncultured prokaryote. Its description in RNAcentral is "partial 16S ribosomal RNA". It matches the Rfam family "Bacterial small subunit ribosomal RNA", at positions 355 to 635 of the family's 1533-position model. The record is from RNAcentral.